This 439-nucleotide ribosomal RNA is filed under the name uncultured bacterium. RNAcentral's name for it is "partial 16S ribosomal RNA". It matches the Rfam family "Bacterial small subunit ribosomal RNA", at positions 339 to 795 of the family's 1533-position model. The record is from RNAcentral.
CUACGGGGGGCAGCAGUGGGGAAUAUUGCACAAUGGGCGAAAGCCUGAUGCAGCAACGCCGCGUGGAGGAUGACACAUUUCGGUGCGUAAACUCCUUUUAUAUAAGAAGAUAAUGACGGUAUUAUAUGAAUAAGCACCGGCUAACUCCGUGCCAGCAGCCGCGGUAAUACGGGGGGUGCAAGCGUUACUCGGAAUCACUGGGCGUAAAGAGCAUGUAGGCUGGAUGACAAGUUGGAAGUGAAAUCCUAUGGCUUAACCAUAGAACUGCUUCCAAAACUGUCUUCCUAGAGUAUGGGAGAGGUAGAUGGAAUUUCUGGUGUAGGGGUAAAAUCAGUAGAGAUCAGAAGGAAUACCGAUUGCGAAGGCGAUCUACUGGAACAUUACUGACGCUCAGAUGCGAAAGCGUGGGGAGCAAACAGGAUUAGAUACCCCUGUAGUC